GACGAACGCUGGCGGCGUGCUUAACACAUGCAAGUCGAGCGGUAAGGCCCUUUCGGGGGUACACGAGCGGCGAACGGGUGAGUAACACGUGGGUGGACCUGCCUCUAGCUCUGGGAGUAAGCCUGGGAAGGCUGGGUCUAAUACCGGAUAUGACCUCGCGGUGCAUGUUGCGGGGUGGAAAGCCUUGCGCGGCUAGGGAUGGGCCCGCGGCCUAUCAGCUUGUUGGUGGGGUGACGGCC
Molecule: ribosomal RNA, 239 nt
Filed under: uncultured bacterium
Lineage: Bacteria
Description: partial 16S ribosomal RNA
Rfam family: Bacterial small subunit ribosomal RNA
Source: RNAcentral